GUACGGAAGGCAGCAGUGGGGAAUCUUGCGCAAUGGGCGAAAGCCUGACGCAGCGACGCCGCGUGGGGGAAGAAGGCUUUCGGGUUGUAAACCCCUUUCAGGAAGGACGAAGCUACUCGGGUGAAUAGCCCAGAGGGUGACGGUACUUCCAGAAGAAGCCCCGGCUAACUACGUGCCAGCAGCCGCGGUAAUACGUAGGGGGCAAGCGUUGUCCGGAUUUAUUGGGCGUAAAGAGCGUGUAGGCGGUUUGGUAGGUCCGCUGUGAAAACUCGAGGCUCAACCUCGAGACGCCGGUGGAAACCAUCAGGCUAGAGUCCGGAAGAGGAGAGUGGAAUUCCUGGUGUAGCGGUGAAAUGCGCAGAUAUCAGGAAGAACACCCGUGGCUAAGGCGGCUCUCUAGUACGGUACUGACGCUGAGACGCGAAAGCGUGGGGAGCGAACAGGAUUAGAUACCCUGGUAGU
Molecule: ribosomal RNA, 462 nt
Filed under: uncultured bacterium
Lineage: Bacteria
Description: bacterial SSU rRNA
Rfam family: Bacterial small subunit ribosomal RNA
Source: RNAcentral